RNAcentral lists this ribosomal RNA (761 nucleotides) under Clostridioides difficile. RNAcentral describes it as "partial 23S ribosomal RNA". It matches the Rfam family "Bacterial large subunit ribosomal RNA", at positions 683 to 1452 of the family's 2925-position model. Lineage: Bacteria; Bacillati; Bacillota; Clostridia; Peptostreptococcales; Peptostreptococcaceae. The record is from RNAcentral.
UUUAACUGAGCGUUCAGUUACUUGACGUAGACCCGAAACCGGGCGACCUACCCAUGAGCAGGAUGAAGCGAAAGUAAAAUUUCGUGGAGGUCCGAACCCACGAGCGUUGAAAAGCUCGGGGAUGACUUGUGGGUAGCGGUGAAAUUCCAAUCGAGCCCGGAGAUAGCUGGUUCUCCCCGAAAUAGCUUUAGGGCUAGCCUCAAGGUGAGAGAUACGGAGGUAGAGCACUGAAUGUCCUAGGGGGUAUUGCACCUACCGAAGACUAUCAAACUCCGAAUGCCGUCAUCUUAUACUUGGGAGUCAGACUGUGGGUGAUAAGAUUCAUAGUCGAAAGGGCAACAGCCCAGAUCGUCAGCUAAGGUCCCUAAAUGUAAGUUAAGUGGUAAAGGAUGUGGGAUUGCACAGACAACCAGGAUGUUGGCUUAGAAGCAGCCACUCAUUCAAAGAGUGCGUAAUAGCUCACUGGUCGAGUGAUCCUGCGCCGAAGAUUUCCGGGGCUAAAACUUACUACCGAAGCUACGGCAUCAGUAAUGAUGGGUAGGGGAGCUUCCCAUACGGGUUGAAGCAUGACCGUAAGGACAUGUGGACAGUAUGGGAGUGAGAAUGUUGGCAUGAGUAGCGAGAUGUGGGUGAGAAUCCCACAGGCCGUAAACCCAAGGUUUCCAGGGGAAGGUUCGUCCGCCCUGGGUUAGUCGGGACCUAAGCUGAGGCCGAAAGGCGUAGGUGAUGGACAACAGGUUGAUAUUCCUGUACUACCGAUA